This 464-nucleotide long non-coding RNA is filed under the name Androctonus crassicauda. The record is from RNAcentral. Lineage: Eukaryota; Metazoa; Arthropoda; Arachnida; Scorpiones; Buthidae.
CUUGCAGACGUCAUUCUUAAUCUGUUAUAAAUAGUUUACAUAUUUUAGUUUAAUUUAAUAGUUUAUCUAAAAGAAAGUCUAAGUUAAUAUCUGAAAUUGUAAGAGAGAGCUAUAAUUAUUAUGAGACAUACUUAGGGAGAACUUUCCAAUUUUCCAUGGAAGGCGCCAUUUGAUCUAAAUUCAUAUGAUUGAGCUGACAGUUCUGGAAUCUAUUUCAGACUACGCUGCUACUAAUGCUGAUUUUUUUUAUUUUAUUUGUAACAAUCGAAUUGUUCAAGAACUAAAACUGAUAAAGAACAGGCAAUCAACGGCACGACAUCGACAAGACUUUCAAGAGACUUUGAUUGUUCGACGCCAGUUAAAUUUCAUUAAGAGAAGAACAAAGAGUUUUUUCCAUCUUAGAAAUAUUUUUGCCGAAAACUUCCUGAAGACAUCAAGGUUAACCAUGGGAAAUUCUUCUCGUC